This 253-nucleotide ribosomal RNA is filed under the name uncultured bacterium. Its description in RNAcentral is "partial 16S ribosomal RNA". It matches the Rfam family "Bacterial small subunit ribosomal RNA", at positions 524 to 776 of the family's 1533-position model. The record is from RNAcentral.
UACGUAGGGUGCGAGCGUUAAUCGGAAUUACUGGGCGUAAAGUGUGCGCAGGCGGCCGAGCAAGUCGAGUGUGAAAGCCCCGAGCUUAACUUGGGAACUGCGCUCGAAACUACUUGGCUAGAGUGUGGCAGAGGGAGGUGGAAUUCCACGUGUAGCGGUGAAAUGCGUAGAGAUGUGGAGGAACACCGAUGGCGAAGGCAGCCUCCUGGGCCAACACUGACGCUCAUGCACGAAAGCGUGGGGAGCGAACAGG